RNAcentral lists this non-coding RNA (27 nucleotides) under Bombyx mori (domestic silkworm). Lineage: Eukaryota; Metazoa; Arthropoda; Insecta; Lepidoptera; Bombycidae. The record is from RNAcentral.
UACCGAAGUACCACGAAUGACAUUUGU